AUCGAUAUAAGUGCCAUUUGGGCCUCCAAGUUAUUAUCCAUGAAGAAAUUCAAAACAGAUAUUGGUGUCCCAAUGAAGAUUAAGCUGACAACAUAGCUCUGGUAGAUGAGCAAGGCCCCAGAAGGCAACUCCUGCAUGACCAUGUUGGUGCUAUCAUAGACCGCAACAUUCAGUUUCUCACCAUAGGUCCCAGCAAGGAUGUGACCACCGAAGAUAGUUUUAAUUCCUGCAACAUUUAAUUAGAAUUGAAGCAUGCAAUAACUAAAAUAAUGAUAGAUACUCUCACAAACAAAAGAAAAAACAAUUGUAGACCUAAGAUAUUUUAGUGCAGACAAAAACUCUUAGAACUAACUUGGAAGGAAAGAAAACUACCAUAUCAGGAUAAUCUCACUUAGGUAUUGAUAACCCACAAGUAUAUGGGAUCAAUUGUAGCCUCUUUCGAUAAGUAAGAGUGUCGAACCCAACGAGGAGCUAAAGGUAGAACAAAUAUUCCCUCAAGUUCUAUCGACCAUCGAUACAACUCUACGCACACUUGACGUUCGCUUUACCUAGAAUAAGUAUGAAACUAGAAGUACUUUGUAGGUGUUGUUGGAUAGGUUUGCAAGAUAAUGAAGAGCAUGUAAAUAUAAACUAGGGGCUGUUUAGAUAAAGAAGCAAUAAAGUAAAUAUAGCUAGUGUGGAAAAGUGGUGGUAGGAGUUGUGAAAUUGUCCCUAAGCAAUUGACUACUUUACUAGACCAAUAACAAGUUUUAUGUGCGAGAGGCAUAAGCUAACAUACUUUCUCUUCUUGGAUCGUAUGCACUUAUGAUUGGAACUCUAGCAAGCAUCCACAACUACUAAAGAUCAUUAAGGUAAAACCCAACCAUAGCAUUAAAGCAUCAAGUCCCCUUUAUCCCAUACGCCACAACCCCCUUACUCGGUUUUAUGCUUCUGUCACUCAAGCAACCCACUAUAAGUGAAUCAUGAACAUAUUGCGACACCCUACAGCGGGAAUCCCUCACGCUUGCGCGACACGGAGAGCACCAUAGGACAUCAACAUAACCACAAGCAAAUUAAACCAAUCGUAGCAAUUCACCAAUUACCGAUAGGACAACAAAAAUCUACUCAGACAUCAUAGGAUGGCAACACAUCAUUGGAUAAUAAUAUGAAGCAUAAAGCACCAUGUUCAAGUAGAUGGUACAUCGGGUUGCGGAAGAGUGGACCACUGAAUAUAGAUGGGGGAGGUGAUGGAGAUGUUGGUGAAGAUGAUGGCGGUGUUGGCGUAGAUCGCGGUGAUGAUGAUGGCCCCCGGCGGUGUUCCGGCGCCACCGGAAGCAAGGGCGGGAGAGAGACCCUUCUUCUUAUUCUUCUUCUUCUUCCUUGACCUUCUCCCUAUAUGGGAGAAGGGUUUCCCCUCUUGUCAAUGGUCUCCAUGGCGUGGGAGGGGCGAGAGCCCCUCCGAGAUUGGAUCUGUCUCUCUAUCUCUCUCUGUUUCUGCAUUCUCAGAUUCUGCCCUUUCACCGUUUCUUAUAUAUCCGGAGAUCCAUAACUCCGACUGGAUUGAAACCUUCGCCACGAUUUUUUUCCUGAAAAUUAGCUUUCUUGCGCCAAAAGAAGAGCAGCAACCGCCUUACGGGGUGCCCACGAGGGUCAGGGGCGCGCCCCCUGCCUCGUGGCCCCCUCGGGCACCGUCUCGCGUUGAUUCUUCUUCCCAAAAAUCAUAAAUAUUCCAAAAAUAUUCUUCGUCAUUUUUAUCCUGUUUGGACUCCGUUUGAUAUGGGGUUUCUGCAAAACAAAAACAUGCAACAAACAGGAACUGGCACUGGACACUGGAUUAAUAUGUUAGUCCCAAAAAUAGUAUAAAAAGUUGCCAAAAGUAUAUGAAAAUUGAAUGAUAUUGGCAUGGAACAAUAAAAAAUUAUAGAUACGACAGAGACGUAUCAGCAUCCCCAAGCUUAAUUCUUGCUCGUCCUCAAGUAGGUAAAUGAUAAAAAUAAUAAUUUUUGAUGUGGAAUGCUACCUAGCAUAAUUUUGAUCAUGUAAUCUAAUCAUGGCAUGAAUAUUAAGACACGAGUGAUUCAAGGCAAUAGUCUAUCAUUUGACAUAAAAACAAUAAUACUUCGGGCAUCCCAACAAACAAUCAUGCCUUUCAAAAUAUCAAUGCUUUAGAACGUUAUCCCUACAAAAUCAUAUAGUCUUUUAUGCUCCCUUUUCUUAACACAAGGUACCGCUCAUGCCUAUCCCGGUGUCAGCCAAACAAUUGUUUUCAUACCUUACUUUUUCGAACCUUUUCAACUCUUCACGCAAUACAUGAGCGUGAGCCAUGGACAUAGCACUAUGGGUGGAAUAGAAGGUGGUAGUAGACAAAAGUAUGGAGAAAGUCUCACAUCGACUAGGCAAAUCAACGGACUAUGGAGAUGUUCAUCAAUUGAUAUCAAUGUGAGUGAGUAGGGAUUGCUAUGUAACGGAUGCACUAGAGCUAUAAGUGUAUGAAAGCUCAAAGGAAAACUAGUGGGUGUGCAUCAACUUGCUUGCUCAUGAAGACCUAGGGCAAUUUGAGGAAGCCCAUCGUCGGAAUAUACAAGCCAAGUUCUAUAACAAAAAAUUCCCACUAGUAUAUGAAAGUGACAAUAUAGGAGACUCUAUAUGAAGAACAUGGUGCUACUCUGAAGCACAAGUGUGGUAAAAGGAUAGUAACAUUGCCCCUUUUCUUUUUUUUUCUCUCUUUUUUUGGGCGGGCUUCUUUGGCCCCCCCUUUUUUUGUAUUUAGGCUUCUUUGGCCUCUUUUUUUAUGGGGCAAUGCUCUAAUAAUGAUGAUCAUCACACUUUUAUUUACUUACAACUCAAUAUUACAACUCGAUACUAGAACAAAGAUAUGACUCUAUAUGAAUGCCUCCGGCGGUGUCCCGGUGGAUGUCCAAUGAUCUAGCAUAGCAAUGACAUCAAAAAACUGGCAAGCCAUGAAAACAUCAUGCUAGCUGUCUUACGAUCAUGCACAACAAUAUAACAAUGAUGGUGCAUGUCAUAACAAACGGAACAGUGGAGUUACAUGGCAAUGUAUCUCAGAAUGGCUAUGGAAAUGCCAUAAUAGGUAGGUAUGGUGGCUGUUUUGAGGAAGGGUAUAAGGUGGUUUGAUGCACCGGCGAAAAUUGCACGGUACUAGAGUGGCUAGCAAGGUGGAAGGGUGAGAGUGCUUAUAAACCAUGGACUCAACAUUAUUCAUAAAGAACUCACAUACUUACUACGAAAAAUCUAUUAACCCUCGAAGCAAAAUACUAUGACGCAUGCUCCUAGGGGGGAGGUUGGUAGGAGUUAACCAUCGCGUGCCCCCGACCUUCACACAAAGAUAAACAAUCAAAAUACAAUGUGCACCAAUUUGGUUACAUAGUUUGGAGACCAUACGUGCAUGCUUCAGGAAUCACAAACCUUAACACCAAUAUUUUUACUAAACCACAAUCAUUCACUAGUUCUCCCACAUAUUAGCAUCUCUAUAUCGCAAAACUAUUUCAAGGAAUCAAACAUAUCAUAUUCAGCGAUCUACAAGUUUAUGUAGGAUUUUAUGACUAACCAUGCGAAUGACCAAUUCCUGUCAUCUCUCUAAAUAGAUAUAAGUGAAGCAAGAGAGUUUAAUUCUUUCCACAAAAGAUAUGCCCACGCUCUAACAAAUAUAAGUGAAGCAAAAGAACAUUCUACAAAUGGCGGUUUUCAAUUUGAAGAGAAACAUGCAAUCCAAACUUCAAAUGAUAUAAGUGAAGCACGUGAAGCAUUCUAUAAAGCCAUACUCAAAAGAUUUAAGUGAGGUGCAAUGAGAAUUCUAUAAAUAAACCAUGGACUAUCUCAUACCAGCAUGGUGCAUAAAAGAAAAGUGAAAACUAAAUACAAAAGACGCUCCAAGAUUUGCACAUAUCGCAUGAACGAAACGAAUCCGAAAACAUACCGAUACUUGUUGAAGAAAGAGGGGAUGCCUUCCGGGGCAUACCCAAGCUUAGACGCUUGAGUCUCCUUGAAUAUUUACUUGGGGUGCCUUGGGCAUCCCCAAGCUUGAGCUCUUGCCUCUCCUCCUUUUCCUCAUAUCGAGACCUCCUCGAUCAAACACUUCAUCCACACAAAACUUCAACAGAAAACUCUGUAAGAUCCGUUAGUAUAAUAAAGCAAAUCACUACUCUAAGUACUGUUGAAAACCAAUUCAUAUUUUGUUUUUGCAUUAUAGCUACUGUAAUAUAACUUUUCCAUGGCUUAAUCCGCUGAUAGAAAUUGAUAGUUUCAUCAAAACAAGCAAACUAUGCAUCAAAAACAGAAUCUGUCAAAAACAGAACAGUCUGUAGUACUCUGAAGAUUCACCAUACUUCUGUUACCCCAAAAAUUCUACCAACAUUAUGAAAAAUAAACAAUUUAUACAUAAAGACAGUGAAAAAAGUUUCAUAACCGUUUGAUGUUCCAGUAAAAAAUGAAAAAUCGCGCACUACAGACAAAGUUUCUGUCCUGCACCGCACAAACCAACAAGCAUUGUAAACAUCCUAAAGGCAAACCUUAGCACAUUAUUUUUAUAAUACAAUGGAAUUGUACAAGGGGAUAAUUAUUUUUGAUUAAAUUUUUAUGUAAUUAAGAUUCACAAAGUUUCCGUGAGCAUGAACAAAGUUCAAGGAGCUCUCCCACUUCAACAAGGCUUGUCUUUCUUACUUUCACUUUCCUUUUUGAAACGUUUUGGGUUCCCUCUUUUUUUAAACUAUAUAAAAGCACUCAAUAGAAGUAAAUGACUCUCUAAAACUUCCAGGUUGUCUCCCUGGCAGCGCUUUCUUUAAAGCCACUAAGCUAGGCAUAAUGUGCUCAAGUAAUGGAUCCACCCGGAUCCCAAGGUAUAUCAAAGCCAAUUUUAAUUAACAAUGAUUUGUGAUUUAGUAGUGAGCACAAAGUAACAUAUAUCAUGUAAUGACGAAGUCUAACUCCCUUCAUAUGCAUCGGCAUGUCAUAAAAGAACAAUUCAUGCACACAUAGUAAAGGCCAAUGCAUGGUAUAGGUAGUUUCUUGCAAUUUCAUCGUAUGGGAAACAUAGAGAGGUGGAGAUAUAGUUCCUCUCUCAUAAUAAUUGUAAGUAGGAGCAGCAAGCACAUGCAUAUUAUAUCUAUCAAAAUCAUCAUGUGUAGUAGUAAAACGCAACCCAUCAAUAUAAUACUUAAUAAGGGCAAACUUCUCUGGUAUAGUGUAGUUGGGAGAAUUCAAAAAGAUAAUAGGACUAUCAUGCGUGGGUGCAAUAGCAACAAUUUCAUGUUUAACAUAAGGAACUAUAGCAAGUUCAUCUCCAUAGGCAUCAUUCAUAUUGGCAUCAUGGCCACAAGCAUAGCAAGCAUCAUCAAAAAGGGGCAUUUCAAGAGAAUCAACGGGAUCAUAACAAUCAUCAUAGCAAUCAUCCUUCGGUAAGCACGAAGGGAAAUUAAACAAUGUAUGAGUCGAAGAGUUACUCUCAUUAGAAGGUGGGCACGGGUAGCUAAUCCGCUCUUCCUCCUUUUGUUCUUCGCUCUCCUCAUCAUCUUUUUCAUCCAAUGAGCUCACAGUUUCAUCAAUUUCUUCUUCCAUAGACUCCUGCAAAAUAUUAGUCUCUUCUUGGCAAGCGUAGGAGUCCUCAAUAUAUGGUUUAAUAUAAGGAUUAGAAGCAUAAUUAUCAUAGAAAUAUUUAAGUAUGGCCAAAUUCUCAGAUUUGUAAAGAGUAGCAUCAUACUUUUCAAUCAAAGAAGCAAUUUCAUAAGCACCCUUAAAAGCAACAAAUUCUUCAAUUUGUUGAACAUCAUAGUAAUUAUAAACACCCUUAGCAUACGAAGAUGCGAUUCCAUUAUCACUAAACUCACAUUGGUAGGGAAAGUGUUUCUUAGGGUUUUCAGAACAACAAGUAACAUCAUAUAUUUCACAUAAAUUCCAAGCAUAGCAUUGCAAAUGAUGAAUUUGAUCUAGUAAAAGUUUCCCUUUUUUAGAUAAGCGGUAUCGCACAUAACAAGCAUGCUCAUCUAAAGAUUUGCCCUCAACUAAGCUAGUUGGGGUUUCAACACGAGCACAUAAGGAUCGAAGAUGAUCCAAGUAAAAAGCUUCAGGAGUGUGAAAGGUUUUGAGUGGUUCUUCAACCAUUGGUGUGGUAGGUACAACUAAUUUUUUUGGUAUUUUGCGUUUCCUACCCAUAACUAAAGAUAGAAAACAACUAAGAACAACAAAUAAAAAUUACUUAGUAAUAAAGCAAACAAGCACACACAAGAAUAUUCACCCCACGCUAUGACUCCCCGGCAACGGCGCCAGAAAAGAGCUUGAUGUCUACUAUGCAACCUUCUUCUUGUAGACGUUGUUGGGCCUCCAAGUGCAAAGGUUUGUAGGACAGUAGCAAAUUUCCCUCAAGUGGAUGGCCUAAGGUUUAUCAAUCCGUGGGAGGCAUAGGAUGAAGAUGGUCUCUCUCAAACAACCCUGCAACCAAAUAACAAAGAGUCUCUUAUGUCCCCAACACACCCAAUACAAUGGUAAAUUGUAUAGGUGCACUAGUUCGACGAAGAGAUGGUGGUACAAGUGCAAUAUGGAUAGUAGAUAUAGGUUUUUGUAAUCUGAAAAUAUAAAAACAGCAAGGUAACUAAUGAUAAAAGUGAGCCUAAACGGUAUUGCAAUGGUAGGAAACAAGGCCUAAGGUUCAUACUUUCACUAGUGCAAGUUCUCUCAACAAUAAUAACAUAACUAGAUCAUAUAACUAUCCCUCAACAUGCAACAAAGAGUCACUCCAAAGUCACUAAUAGUGGAGAACAAACGAACAGAUUAUUGUAGGGUACGAAACCACCUCAAAGUUAUCCUUUCUGAUCGGUCUAUUCAAGAGUCUGUAGUAAAAUAACACGAAGCUAUUAUUUUUGUUCGAUCUAUCAUAGAGUUCGUACUAGAAUAACACCUUAAGACACAAAUCAACCAAAACCCUAAUGUCACCUAUAUACUCCAAUGUCACCUCAAGUAUCCAUGGGUAUGAUUAUACGAUAUGCAUCACACAAUCUCAGAUUCAUCUAUUCAAACCAACACAAAGUACUUCAAAGAGUGCCUCAAAGUUUCUACCAGAGAGUCAAGAAGAAAACGUGUGCCAACCCCUAUGCAUAAGUUCACAAGGUCAGUGAACCCGCAAGUUGAUCACCAAAACAUACAUCAAGUAGAUCACGUGAUAUCCCAUUGUCACCAUAGAUAAGCACAUGCAAGACAUACAUCAAGUGUUCUCAAAUCCUUAAAGACUCAAUCCGAUAAGAUAACUUCAAAGGGAAAAAUCAAUCCAUUACAAGAGAGUAGAGGGUGAACUACUCCCUCAUCAUCAUGGAGAGCGCCGGGAUGAUGAAGAUGGCCAUCGAUGAGGGAUCCCCCCUCCGGCAGGGUGCCGGAACAGGGCCCCGAUUGGUUUUUGGUGGCUACGGAGGCUUGUGGCGGCAGAACUCCCGAUCUAUUGUGAUCCCGGAUGUUUUCGGGGUAUAUGGAUAUAUAUAUAUAUAUAUAUAUAUAUAUAUAUAGGAAAAAGAAGUCGAUCAGGGGAGCCACAAGGGGCCCACGAGGGUGGGGGGCGCGCCCAGGGGGUAGGGCGCGUCCUGGACCCUCGUGGCCACCUUGAAGCUUCCCUGACAUCUACUCCAAGUCUCCUGAAUUGCUUCCGUUUCAAAAAUAACUCUCCCGUAGGUUUCAUAUCAUUUGGACUCCGUUUGAUAUUCCUUUUCUUCGAAACACUGAAAUAGGCAAGAAAACAACAAUUUGGGCUGGACCUCCGGUUAAUAGGUUAGUCCCAAAAAUCGUAUAGAAGUGUAUAAUAAAGCCCAUAAACAUCCAAAAUGGGUAAUAUAAUAGCAUGGAACAAUCAAAAAUUAUAGAUACGUUGGAGACGUAUCAGGUAUGUAUGUGCAAACAUGAUAAUAACUUCAUAUAUAUCUUAGUUAGGAGUUUUAAGAACACAAGUGAGUUAAACACUGCUGAUACGCCACGAGAUUACUCCAAAGUCCAAAAGCACUGAAGAUAAGAGUCUGUAAUGUCAAUCAUAAAAGCCAUAAUGCUAUUUUUAACUGCAAAAGGUGAAUACAGUAGAGACUCUUCUACAAAAAGGACGACCUCCACAAUCAAGAUAAAACUGAUUACUCCGAUGGUAACAUUAGAAUUGUUUUACACUUUUAGCAUAAAAUUGUGCAACAAACUGUACAACUAAGUGAUCCGCCCAAUGUUGACAAUAAUCAACAAUUGGUUGAAGUGUUGCAGAAGCAUGGCAAUGGCUAGCGAUAUUUCAGAGUAAUAUAUCCUACAAGAAACAAACCGUUAAAUCUCAAGAAAGACAACAAUCAUCGGCGAACUGGAAAUGAUAACAAUAUAUCCUACAAGAAAUACAAGGCCUAAAUUAAGUAAUUUAAAAUGCUCAUAAAGCUUGUACAGAAUAUAAUAGUAUAAUAUGUAAAUAAUCUAGGAGUAGAACAAUUUUGCAAUGUGAUAGCAUUUGUCAUCUCUAUUUCCCCAGCUCAUAUUUUAUCAGACCAGCAGGGUACUCAAUGGGAAGAUGAUGAGUUUAUCACCAUGACUGAUUAUAGUUCACUGAAAAGAAUAAUGAGUGAAGCAGUAAAAAAAAUUGAAGCAUAGUUGGUAGCUACGGCUUCACCCAGAAACAUCUCAAGUAUUUGUAUAUAUCACAACAACCUUCCCUCAUACCUGGCAUGGUACAUAUUUGUUUGAAGGGUCUGUGGGGGCAGAAACUGCUUCAUUCAGAUAUUGACCUUCAAUCUCAAGUAUUAGCUAGCAGCUCUCCCUUUCCCUCUAUCUAGUUCUAAAAAUGUGCAACAGAGUUAUAUCAAACGUCAUUUAAAUUACAACCCGCAGUUCAGAACUCAUAAACAUGAUUGAUUUGUUAUCACUUAAGCUAGUUCUUUAGCUAGCUACAGAAUGUGCAUUCUCCCCAACCCCUAUUACUCAUUUUGUUUCUGAUGGCAAGGCACAUAUAUAGGCUUGUAGAUAGAAAAAAACAGGGAAGCCAACAUGUUCUAUCUUUCUUCUGCCCAUACAAGAAUCUGCAAACAAGUUAGUUUUAUUAAAAAGUCAGCAACUCAUUUUUAUUC
Molecule: long non-coding RNA, 9062 nt
Filed under: Triticum aestivum (bread wheat)
Lineage: Eukaryota; Viridiplantae; Streptophyta; Magnoliopsida; Poales; Poaceae
Description: long non-coding RNA (TAES_LNC015872)
Source: RNAcentral